AUGUGCGAGGGCUCAGCGAAGUGGACGGAUCGAACAUGCACGCACCAGGUCGCAGUGUACGUAGUACCAUCAUCGGCGCGCCCCGGCCGGUUAGUCGAGCUCGAGCAGCAUGCGCCGUUUACAGGCAUGCAGCCAAUCCGUGUCAUGCAUGUGGCAGUAGUAGUAACACUGUGCAAAUACCUAUGCACGUACAGCCUACAGCAUCGGGGUACAGAGGCUAUGCAGUGUACGCCCGUAGAUACACAGCAUCGAUCACAUGCCCGCCGCUGCGAGCAGGAACGGACGAGCGUACAGAAGCUAGCUAGGGAGCAAGCGGGUCGCCCUCUCGUCGACGGCAGACAGGCGCACGCACGGUGCCGCGCUCGCGGGGCCGGCUCCGGCGUCGACCAUGUGAACGAGGCAGGAUAG
This 408-nucleotide ribosomal RNA is filed under the name Triticum aestivum (bread wheat). RNAcentral's name for it is "partial small subunit ribosomal RNA". Lineage: Eukaryota; Viridiplantae; Streptophyta; Magnoliopsida; Poales; Poaceae. The record is from RNAcentral.